GACGAACCGUGCGAACGUUGUUCGGAAUCACUGGGCUUAAAGGGCGCGUAGGCGGUUCAUCAAGUCCGGGGUGAAAUCUUUCGGCUCAACCGGAAAAGUGCCUUGGAUACUGGUGGGGGAACUGGAGGGAGGUAGGGGCAGAUGGAACUUCCGGUGGAGCGGUGAAAUGCGUUGAUAUCGGAAGGAACGCCGGUGGCGAAAGCGAUCUGCUGGCCCUCUUCUGACGCUGAGGCGCGAAAGCUAGGGGAGCAAACGGGAUUAGAUACCCGGGUAGUCCCUGAA
This 282-nucleotide ribosomal RNA is filed under the name uncultured bacterium. RNAcentral describes it as "partial 16S ribosomal RNA". It matches the Rfam family "Bacterial small subunit ribosomal RNA", at positions 524 to 801 of the family's 1533-position model. The record is from RNAcentral.